UUUUCCAUUUCGUUAUUAUAAGGUAUUAUAUAAUGAUUUCAAUAUUUCAUUUUUUUCGACAAUAGUUUUUAUUAGUUUUCAAAAAUAUAUAUCACUGUUUUUUUUCCGUUUCUCUAUUUCUUCUGUUGGGUUCUUCAAAUGGUUUUCUCGUUUUUCAUUUCUUCAUUUUGUUAUAGUCGGAUGUUUAUUUGUCUGUUUUGUUUAUUUCUUAUAAUCGGAUAUUUGAUUAUUUGUUUUUUUUCUUUAUUUGUUUAUAAUCGUAAUUUUGUUAAAUUCUCUAUUUUGUUCAUUAUAAUUUUCUUAAAGAAUAUCUACAUCAAGUUCUGAUCAUGCGCCCAAGAUCACUGAACCGGUAGUAUUAUUUAAGCCUGAUAAUUCGUGUUGACACGACACGAACACGACCUGUGUCAAAAAAAUUUAACACCGACAUGACAAGAAAUUCGUGUCAACAACACAAUACAAACUUAACUUGCAGUUUAAUUAAAAUAAUUAAUUUGGAAACAUGGAGGAUUAAAUCCACGACUUCUCGUAUGUUGAGGAAAUGUUUACCAUCUAUGUUACAUUUCUAAAUAUGAUA
RNAcentral lists this long non-coding RNA (577 nucleotides) under Zostera marina. Its description in RNAcentral is "long non-coding RNA (ZMAR_LNC006181)". Lineage: Eukaryota; Viridiplantae; Streptophyta; Magnoliopsida; Alismatales; Zosteraceae. The record is from RNAcentral.